AUGGAGAUACAAAGUCGGCUGCUUGAGCAAUUAAAAUUUGACGUGAACCAGCGAGACCAUGUGUUCCUGAACCAUCGCUCAUCCCAGGCGCACCCCCGCUGCAGAGGCAGGUGCGGGUUCCUAUCUCCUUGCAUCUGUUCUGGACUGCUUUGGGAGGCCGCGGUGAGUCACUGGUUGCAAGACGUGGCGUGUGAACUGUGGAUGAGGAGAGGCCACCUUGAAAGAGCAGGUGACAGGAGGCUCCUGGCUGGAAGCCCAGGUCGCAUCACCUGAUAUCUGAUGAUCUGAUUAUUCGGGGUCACUGACAUCCAGCGGUUGCAUCAGAUUCAGAAGGCUGAGGGCCUGUGCUGUGGGGCCCUGCAGUGUAGACAUGGGGGGGAGGGAACGAACCUAAGCCAGCGCAGCAUUUCAGCAAUCCGUCAAGUCUCCGUCCACCGGCUUUUCUCAGGAGGUGUUUUGCCAGGAUUAACAAAUAAGCCAGGCCUGUGUUGCCAUAGCUGAUCUUGCCAGAGACUUCUUUGUAGAGAGGGAACCACCUGUUUUCUUUUCUUUCUUUCUUUCUUUCUUUCUUUCUUUCUUUCUUUCUUUCUUUCUUUCUUUCUUUCUUUCUUUUCUUUCUUCCUCCCUUUCUCCCUUUCUCCCUUUCUCUCUUUCUCUCUUUCUCUCUUUCUCUCUUUCUCUCUUUCUCUUUCUUUGAGCUAUGAUCUCAUUGCAUAGCCCAGGCUGGCCUCAGACUCAUGGAGAUCUCCCUGCCUCAGCCUCCUGAUUGCUAGAAUUACAGGUGUGCACCACCAUGCCCUCCUUUACACCCAAGCUUUCUAGGGGUAAGCCUAGGAGCCUUUCUAGGGGAAAGCCUUCUGAGCAAGAGCCUAGGGACCUGGACCCAGAGCAGCUGCGCCACUUGAAGGUCCGACAGAAGAAGGUGUCAUCACGUCCACUGAGGCGUCCCCUAAGACACUGAUGCUUCUGCAACUCACUCGGCUCUGCCCCUCUGAUGGGGUCAAGCUCAGCUCCUCCCCCUGUAAGAUAGCUGCUCCCCAGUGAGACCCAUCUUUGCACCCAUUGGCCUGUGAACUAGGCAGGUGCACCUUCAAUCUUUAGAAAGGCCCUGAAGAUGGGCUGGGGAUAUAGCUCAGCGGUAUAAGCGUCUGCCUGUCGAGCGCAAGGUCGUGAGUUCAAUCCCCAGUACCCCCCCCCGCAAAAAAGCUAGUCAUCUAGGUAGUCAAGAAAAAAAUUGAAAGAAAAAACCCUGAAGGGCUUGGUUACCCUAUCAAACAAAUGGGCUGCGCGAACCCCACAGACUCCAGUGUGUCAGCAGAGGGACAGAUUUUGGGACCGGCCUGCUUGGAGAGCCGAGUCCAGCCCGACCUCUUGCUGCUCGGGAAACCGAAGCUGGCCACAGCAAUCACACCACAGGCCUCAGCUGAGGGUCAGCUGCGUCAGUGCCCUCGGAGAGGCCAGAAAGAUGUGGAAAGCACAGCAAAAGCACAGUGAGCGCUGCUGAUUACUGUAACUCACACCGCCAACGGCAAGCCAACGGGGAAAGCAGGCUUGGGAGCCAUGGACCCAGCACAAAUAAGAUACAGUACCAGGUUUCUGCAGCUCCUUGGCUGUGCUGUCUGUCGCCUCUGAGAAUGAAGUUUGGCAUGAGCCUUGACCUAGCUGGGUUGCCAGUGAACUAUUAUUAUUUUUUUGUUGAUGUAAAAAUAGCAUAACAUACAAUUAAACAUUUUCCCCCUGCAGUCGUGAGGAGUGAACCCAGGGCCUUUGCACAGAGUUGCAUCGCCAGCCUUUUUAUGUUUCAUUUUGAGACAGAGCCUGCAGCCUUU
This 1829-nucleotide long non-coding RNA is filed under the name Chinchilla lanigera (long-tailed chinchilla). Its description in RNAcentral is "lncRNA (ENSCLAG00000026084.1)". The stretch from base 1122 to 1194 matches the Rfam family "tRNA". The record is from RNAcentral. Lineage: Eukaryota; Metazoa; Chordata; Mammalia; Rodentia; Chinchillidae.